This 487-nucleotide ribosomal RNA is filed under the name uncultured bacterium. RNAcentral describes it as "partial 16S ribosomal RNA". It matches the Rfam family "Bacterial small subunit ribosomal RNA", at positions 28 to 523 of the family's 1533-position model. The record is from RNAcentral.
GAUGAACGCUGGCGGCGUGCUUAACACAUGCAAGUCGAACGGGAUCCAUCAGGCUUUGCUUGGUGGUGAGAGUGGCGAACGGGUGAGUAAUGCGUGACCGACCUGCCCCAUACACCGGAAUAGCUCCUGGAAACGGGUGGUAAUGCCGGAUGCUCCGACUCCUCGCAUGGGGUGUCGGGAAAGAUUUCAUCGGUAUGGGAUGGGGUCGCGUCCUAUCAGGUAGUCGGCGGGGUAACGGCCCACCGAGCCUACGACGGGUAGCCGGCCUGAGAGGGCGACCGGCCACAUUGGGACUGAGAUACGGCCCAGACUCCUACGGGAGGAAGGAGUGGGGAAUAUUGCACAAUGGGCGCAAGCCUGAUGCAGCGACGCAGCGUGCGGGAUGACGGCCUUCGGGUUGUAAACCGCUUUUGAUCGGGAGCAAGCCUUCGGGUGAGUGUACCUUUCGAAUAAGCACCGGCUAACUACGUGCCAGCAGCCGCCGUAA